Molecule: long non-coding RNA, 2113 nt
Filed under: Marmota monax (woodchuck)
Lineage: Eukaryota; Metazoa; Chordata; Mammalia; Rodentia; Sciuridae
Source: RNAcentral
GGGCAGUUUCACCAUUUCCUCAACCAGAACAGAGCUGAACUGUGAGGAGCAUCCUCAAGUUUCGUUUCCUGUGUGUUGAUAUCACCUGGGGAUUGAUUAAACUUCUCCACUUCUCCCUGUAUCCAGGGUCCACCUCUCCCUCCUCUUCCAGCCUCUGCUCCAUUCCCUCCUCCUCCCUCCCGUUCCCCCCCCUUCCCUCUCCCCCUCUUCUCCUCCAGCUCCUCCCUGUGGCUUCCCUUUCAGAGGCCUCAUCCUCACAGGCAGCGGGGAUGCUCUGCAGCUUUGACAACCAACCAGCAAUCGGUGCUCCAAUUGCUCAGUGGCUUGGCACCCUGAAGGGGUCGCUGCUGCCAUAGGCUCUGCUGGAGCCUCCUUCCCACAGCCUGGCACAGUAGGGGAACCGCUGUGGCUGGCACCUGAGAGGCACCGCUCACCAAUCAACUUAGGAUUUUUUGACUUUACAUUGAUGCAGAGUGAUCCACAUUCAGUAAAAACCAUACUUUGAAUUUGGAUUCUUUCCUGGGCUGGUGAGAGUAUGAUGUUGUCUCACAAUGCUGGGCAGAGGCAGCAAGUCCUGCUCCCAGUCAGCCUCGGGAUCCUGAGGGGAAACCAUCAACCCUCUACAGUGGGCUGUGACCUGCGACAGUGCUGUUGAGCAAGGGUGUGUGGUAGGUCCCUGCACUGUGUACAUGUUUGACUGUCAGUAUUUUCUGAUGGGUUUAUUACAAUGUAGCCCCAUGUAAGCUGAGAAGCAUAGGCCCAGGCAGGUUCCAGCGACAACCACAUGCAAUAGUGUUGUAUUGCAGAGAGAGCAGCAGCAGGAUGUCAGUCAUUUGGGAUGGAUAGAACUAUUGUUCUAGUGUUUCUUUUUUUAAAUAUUUAUUUUUUAGUUUUCGGCGGACACAACAUCUUUAUUUGUAUGUGGUGCUGAGGAUCGAACCCAGGCCGCACGCAUGCCAGGCGAGCGCGCUACCGCUUGAGCCACAUCCCCAGCCCAGUUCUACUGUUUCUUUCUGAACCAUGUGACACUGAGGUGUCUCCCAAAAGAACAGACAGAGGGUACAUCUCCACCUUACUGAUUUAAGUCAUGGCCUUCAGACUGCUCAGACCAAUAGAAUAUGGUGGAGGACUUGAUAUGAGCAUGUGCCAGACCUGGCCUUCCAUGCCAUGCUCUUCCUUUUGUGGUUCUGUCAUUUGCCAUGAGAAGAACAUGGCCCUGUUGGAUCCUGAAAGGAGACCCACAGCGGGGAAUCUAAACCCAACCGAAAGCCUGGACCAAGGUUAGCCAAGACCAAGGGAAAGUCAAAACCCACCUGCAAAGUCAUGAAGCUUGUUCUCGUAGCCAUUGAGAUGUGGAGGUUGCUGGCUACCCCGUGGAACUGACAACGCACCCCUCUGGAUUAGAGGGGACAAGGAGAGGUAUGUUCCUGGACUGGACUGUCUGGCAGUUUUGUAAGAGUGGUGAUUUGUUGUACAAUGAUACAUGAAGCUGGCUUUCUAAAUACCCAUCAGGUCUCCUUGGUCACAUCAGAAUAUACUAAGAUGUUUAUUCCCUACCUAUUUUAUAAUUUCUGUGAGGAACAAAUAAAACCUUCAUAAUUGCUACCAAAAGAGAGGUGGGAUGUAGUGCCUAGGAGCAGCUCUUUGGGUCAUUACCUUGAGGAUUUCCAACUCUCAGUUAGCUUGACUUCUCUCUCUUCCCAUUUCUACCAGGGCAUUUAAAUUCAGAGAGCCACGUUGCCUGCCCCAGAAGGCUGCCGCUUGGUAAAGACUAAUGUUGGUGUUCCUUUUAGUGUCUCCUGGGAUUUCAUCACACAAAUACUUUUGGGCCAUCAUUUCUUCUUAAAGGGUAGGCUGAUUGGCACUCCCAAUAACAGCAGUUCUGUGUCAAUCCUGACACCUAUGGUUUAAACAGCUGUCCCACUCCAGGCUUGUGGUUAGGAUCAAAAUGUUACAUAGUCAUCCACGCAUGCAAUAUAACAAUAUACUUUGGCCAAUAUCACUCCACAGUACCUUGGCCCUCCUACCCCUUGGUCCCUUUUCUCUACUGUUCUUUCUUUGAUUUCCAUGAGAUCCACCCCACCUAUCUUUCCCUUUUUCUUCUCUAUCUCCC